This 449-nucleotide ribosomal RNA is filed under the name uncultured bacterium. Its description in RNAcentral is "bacterial SSU rRNA". It matches the Rfam family "Bacterial small subunit ribosomal RNA", at positions 354 to 796 of the family's 1533-position model. The record is from RNAcentral.
GUCGAGAAUUUUUCACAAUGGGCGCAAGCCUGAUGGAGCGACGCCGCGUGGGGGAUGAAUGGCUUCGGCCCGUAAACCCCUGUCAUUUGCGAUCAAACCUUAUUAUUUAAAAGAUGAUAAGCUGAUAGUAGCGAAAGAGGAAGGGACGGCUAACUCUGUGCCAGCAGCCGCGGUAAUACAGAGGUCCCAAGCGUUGUUCGGAUUCACUGGGCGUAAAGGGUGCGUAGGUGGUGGGGUAAGUCGGAUGUGAAAGCUCGGAGCUCAACUCCGAAAUGGCAUUGGAAACUACCCUGCUAGAGGAUUGGAGGGGGGACUGGAAUACUUGGUGUAGCAGUGAAAUGCGUAGAUAUCAAGUGGAACACCAGUGGCGAAGGCGAGUCCCUGGACAAUACCUGACACUGAGGCACGAAAGCUAGGGGAGCAAACAGGAUUAGAAACCCGGGUAGUCC